Molecule: non-coding RNA, 45 nt
Filed under: Schistosoma curassoni
Lineage: Eukaryota; Metazoa; Platyhelminthes; Trematoda; Strigeidida; Schistosomatidae
Source: RNAcentral
AUCCAGCUGACGAGUGCUAAAUAGGACGAAACGCGCGUCCUGGAU